GACGAACGCUGGCGGCGUGCCUAAUACAUGCAAGUAGGACGCAGUCGCGAACGGGUGAGUAACGCGUAGGUAACUAGCUAGUAGAGGGGGCUAACUACUGGAAACGAUAGCUAAUACCGCUUACUAGUAGAUGGACCUGCGUUGUAUUAGGUAGUAGGUAGGGUAAAGGCCUACCUAGGCAACCAUACAUAGCCGACCUUAGAGGGAUAACGAGCACACUGGGACUGGGUAACUGCCCAGGAUCCUACGGGGGGCAGCAGGAGGGAAUCAUUGGAAAAUGGGGGAAACCUGACCGGGCAAAGGCGGGGGGGUGAAGAAGGUUUUCGGAUCGUAAAGCUCUGUUGUUAAGGAAGCGGUACUUAACCAGAAAGGAACGGCUAACUACGUGCCAGCAGCCGCGGUAAUUC
RNAcentral lists this ribosomal RNA (407 nucleotides) under uncultured bacterium. RNAcentral describes it as "partial 16S ribosomal RNA". It matches the Rfam family "Bacterial small subunit ribosomal RNA", at positions 28 to 526 of the family's 1533-position model. The record is from RNAcentral.